AGAGGAAUCCUACCCCAUGAGCUGGGGAGGAAAUGAGGCUAGUCUUCUUUUAAGAGUGUGGUGAAUCACCCCCAGCCUCCCUGGGAACCAGCUAUACUCUGCACUUGUUAUCUUCUUUGCAUUCCUGCUGACAUCCUGGAAAGGGAUGAGAGAGAGGUGGAGAGAGAAGAAAUGGAAAUUCAAAAGUUUUGACGGCAGAGGAAAAUUGUGCUUAUUUCCAGAAUGAGACGAACAAGGUCCUGGGUCCCUACAUGUCAUACUGGCUAGAGACUGGGAAACAGAUUAACUGAGAGAAGCCAUCAAGCCUGAAGAGACAUCGUGUUUGAAAUGUGUAAGGCACAGUGUACCCGCCGUGGAUCAAAACAACCUGAAGGACAGACAGACAGACACACCGAGGAUCAGCAGAUAUCAGUGGGGACAGGUGCUGAUGAUGGUGCAAAUGAGAGUCAUGAAGGAAAGUUAAAUGAUGACCAAAGACCAAGUACCUUCCCCACAAUGCUUUGACAAGCGCUUUUAUAAGCACCCUGGAAUUUAGACACUACCCGGGGAGAAAAGGAAAGGGAGACAAGCAUGAAUUGUCUGAGAAACCCCUGAAUUAAUCAUGUGUACCCCAAUGCAACAAGGAUCUAGAUAUAGAAUAAUUUUAAUUAUAGAAAACAAAAUUAUAUUUUACCCACCCAUAUUUGAUGCCCAUGAAUUUCACAUCUACCUUACGUGCACAUAAAAUUCAAGCUUAGAUAGACGGAAAACAAAAAAUCAAGAAGCAAUAUUUGCCUUCUAAUAACUUAUCUAUUGGAGGAGGUAAAAGAUAGAAAAGUAGUUCAGAUGACAAAUACUAAAAGAGUUAGGAACUUCUGCUUCCACUUACGAUGAAGGAACUUGUACUCAAUCCAUCCACUUUGUAAUUCUCCUUGAGCUGCUGUAAUAAAGUACCACAAACUGGGUGACUUAAAACAACAGAA
RNAcentral lists this long non-coding RNA (962 nucleotides) under Homo sapiens (human). RNAcentral describes it as "novel transcript". The record is from RNAcentral. Lineage: Eukaryota; Metazoa; Chordata; Mammalia; Primates; Hominidae.